RNAcentral lists this ribosomal RNA (497 nucleotides) under uncultured bacterium. RNAcentral describes it as "partial 16S ribosomal RNA". It matches the Rfam family "Bacterial small subunit ribosomal RNA", at positions 28 to 507 of the family's 1533-position model. The record is from RNAcentral.
GAUGAACGCUGGCGGCGUGCCUAAUACAUGCAAAUCGAGCGAACAGACGAGGAGCUUGCUCCUCUGACGUUAGCGGCGGACGGGUGAGUAACACGUGGAUAACCUACCUAUAAGACUGGGAUAACUUCGGGAAACCGGAGCUAAUACCGGAUAAUAUAUUGAACCGCAUGGUUCAAUAGUGAAAGACGGUUUUGCUGUCACUUAUAGAUGGAUCCGCGCCGCAUUAGCUAGUUGGUAAGGUAACGGCUUACCAAGGCAACGAUGCGUAGCCGACCUGAGAGGGUGAGCGGCGACACGGGAACUUAGCCACGGUCCAGACUCCUACGGUGGGCACCAUUGGGGAAUCUUCUGAAAUGGGCUAAAGCAUGACAGAGCAACGCUGCUUGAGUGAUGAAGGUGUUCGGAUCUUAAAACUCUGUUAUUAGGGAAGAACAAAGGUGGAAGUAACUAUGCACGUCUGGACGGUACCUAAUCAGAAAGCCCCGGCUAACUACGUG